This 164-nucleotide ribosomal RNA is filed under the name uncultured bacterium. RNAcentral's name for it is "partial 16S rRNA". It matches the Rfam family "Bacterial small subunit ribosomal RNA", at positions 355 to 511 of the family's 1533-position model. The record is from RNAcentral.
UAGGGAAUCUUCCACAAUGGGCGCAAGCCUGAUGGAGCAACACCGCGUGAGUGAAGAAGGGUUUCGGCUCGUAAAGCUCUGUUGUUAAAGAAGAACAUGUAUGAGAGUAACUGUUCAUACGUUGACGGUAUUUAACCAGAAAGUCACGGCUAACUACGUACCAG